RNAcentral lists this ribosomal RNA (497 nucleotides) under uncultured bacterium. RNAcentral describes it as "partial 16S ribosomal RNA". It matches the Rfam family "Bacterial small subunit ribosomal RNA", at positions 28 to 507 of the family's 1533-position model. The record is from RNAcentral.
GAUGAACGCUGGCGGCGUGCCUAAUACAUGCGAGUCGAGCGAACGGACGAGAAGCUUGCUUCUCUGAUGUUAGCGGCGGACGGGUGAGUAACACGUGGAUAACCUACCUAUAAGACUGGGAUAACUUCGGGAAACCGGAGCUAAUACCGGAUAAUAUUUUGAACCGCAUGGUUCAAAAGUGAAAGACGGUCUUGCUGUCACUUAUAGAUGGAUCCGCGCUGCAUUAGCUAGUUGGUAAGGUAACGGCUUACCAAGGCAACGAUGCAUAGCCGACCUGAGAGGGUGAUCGGCCACACUGGAACUGAGACACGGUCCAGACUCCUACGGGAGGCAGCAGUAGGGAAUCUUCCGCAAUGGGCGAAAGCCUGACGGAGCAACGCCGCGUGAGUGAUGAAGGUCUUCGGAUCGUAAAACUCUGUUAUUAGGGAAGAACAUAUGUGUAAGUAACUGUGCACAUCUCGACGGUACCUAAUCAGAAAGCCACGGCUAACUACGUG